This 481-nucleotide ribosomal RNA is filed under the name uncultured bacterium. RNAcentral's name for it is "partial 16S ribosomal RNA". It matches the Rfam family "Bacterial small subunit ribosomal RNA", at positions 28 to 507 of the family's 1533-position model. The record is from RNAcentral.
GAUGAACGCUGGCGGCGUGCCUAACACAUGCAAGUCGAACGGAGAUUACGGACGGAAGUUUUCGGAUGGAAGCCUGUAAUUCUUAGUGGCGGACGGGUGAGUAACGCGUGGGCAACCUGCCCUAUACAGGGGGAUAGCAGCUGGAAACGGCUGGUAAGACCGCAUAAGUCGGUUAAAUCGCAUGAUUUGAUCGGGAAAUGAGCAAUCAGGUAUAGGAUGGGCCCGCGUCCGAUUAGCCAGUUGGCAGGGUAAAAGCCUACCAAAGCGACGAUCGGUAGCCGGACUGAGAGGUCGGACGGCCACAUUGGGACUGAGACACGGCCCAAACUCCUACGGGAGGCAGCGGUGGGGGAUAUUGCACAAUGGAGGAAACUCUGAUGCAGCGACGCCGCGUGAGUGAAGAAGUAUUUCGGUAUGUAAAGCUCUAUCAGCAGGGAAGAUGAUGACGGUACCUGACUAAGAAGCCCCGGCUAACUACGUG